Non-coding RNA from Zootermopsis nevadensis, 1045 nucleotides. The record is from RefSeq and is a predicted model, not a curated record. Lineage: Eukaryota; Metazoa; Arthropoda; Insecta; Blattodea; Termopsidae.
UGUCAUUUGAAUUGGAUUUUCGAUGUCUGUCCACCGCCGUCGGUUUCAUUUCUCUUUAAUUGGUUUCCAACACCGCCCAAACUUGGGGUCGCAGAUACAUCAUUUAAUGUUAAUAGGGAUUUUCAACAACCUGAAUACGGCCAUUGCCACAGCCAUACCUAGGGGGCAGAGUUAAUUGAUGUCAUUUGAAUUGGUUUCCAACACCGCCCAAACUUGGGGUCGCAGAUACAUCAUCUUAUCUUAAUAGUUUUUCAGGAAUUGCGACAACCGGACGAUGACCAUUACCUCCGCCACAGGCUGUAGGGGGCGCAGUUUCUCUCUUCUCUCCAUAAUUCGUGAAUCCUGUCAGGUCCUCGACUACCGCCGCCAUCCCUAGGGUUGAAUCUACGUGCGUCACGACGUGAGUGUAAUUCCGUCGGACUGGCCACCACUACGAUCGCCAACCCUACGGUCGUACUUUGUUUCAUCUCGUCUUAAUCGAAUUCGGACAACCGGACGAUGAGCAUCACCUCUCUUCAUAAGUCGUGAAUCCUGUCAGAGGACCUCGACUACCACCGCCAACCCUAGGGCUGCAUGUACGUGCAUGACGUCAUAAGCGGAGUUUGUUUCUUUGUUUUUCAGUAAUUCAUCCGACUGACGACCACUACGAUCGCCAAUCCUAGGGUCAUAUUGUAUUUCAUCUCGUCUGAAUCGAAUUCGGACAACCGGACGAUGAGCAUCACCUCUCUUCAUAAUUCGUGAAUGCUGCGAGGACCUCGAUUACCGCCGCCAUCCCAGGGGUUGAAUCUACGCGCAUCGCGUCAUAAGCGUAAUUCAUCCGACUGACGACCACUACGCCCGCCAAUCCUAGGGUCAUAUUGUAUUUCAUCUCGUCUUAAUCGAAUUCCGACAACCGGACGAUGAGCAUCACCUCUCUUGAUAAGUCGUGAAUCCUGUCAGAGGACCUCGACUACCACCGCCAACCCUAGGGCUGCAUAUACGUGCACGACGUCAUAAUUGCGCUGCACUGCGCCGUGCUGAGCUCAAGAGAUGCGUCCUGGCGCCA